CCUACGGGUGGCAGCAGUGGGGAAUAUUGCACAAUGGGGGCAAGCCUGACCCAGCGACGCCGCGUGAGGGAAGAAGGAUUUCGGGUCGUAAACUUCUAUUAGGGGGGAAGAAAAAAGGACGGUACCCGUUGAAGAAGCCCCGGCUAACUACGUGCCAGCAGCCGCGGUAAUACGUAGGGGGAAAGCGUUGUCCGGAUUUACUGGGUGUAAAGGGAGCGCAGACGGGCAUGCAAGUCCGGAGUGAAAUGCGCCAGCUAAACCGCCGAACUGCCUUGGAAACUGUUUGGCUUGAGUCCGGGAGAGGUCAGCGGAAUUCCUGGUGUAGCGGUGAAAUGCGUAGAUAUCAGGAGGAACACCGGUGGCGAAGGCGGAUUACUGGACGGUAACUGACGGUGAGGCUCGAAAGCGUGGGGAGCAAACAGGAUUAGAUACCCCGGUAGUC
Molecule: ribosomal RNA, 442 nt
Filed under: uncultured bacterium
Lineage: Bacteria
Description: partial 16S ribosomal RNA
Rfam family: Bacterial small subunit ribosomal RNA
Source: RNAcentral